AGAGUUUGAUCAUGGCUCAGAUUGAACGCUGGCGGCAGGCCUAACACAUGCAAGUCGAACGGUAACAGGAAGCAGCUUGCUGCUUCGCUGACGAGUGGCGGACGGGUGAGUAAUGUCUGGGAAACUGCCUGAUGGAGGGGGAUAACUACUGGAAACGGUAGCUAAUACCGCAUAAUGUCGCAAGACCAAAGAGGGGGACCUUCGGGCCUCUUGCCAUCGGAUGUGCCCAGAUGGGAUUAGCUUGUUGGUGGGGUAACGGCUCACCAAGGCGACGAUCCCUAGCUGGUCUGAGAGGAUGACCAGCCACACUGGAACUGAGACACGGUCCAGACUCCUACGGGAGGCAGCAGUGGGGAAUAUUGCACAAUGGGCGCAAGCCUGAUGCAGCCAUGCCGCGUGUAUGAAGAAGGCCUUCGGGUUGUAAAGUACUUUCAGCGGGAGGAAGGGAGUAAAGUUAAUACCUUUGCUCAUUGACGUUACCCGCAGAAGAAGCACCGGCUAACUCCGUGCCAGCAGCCGCGGUAAUACGGAGGGUGCAAGCGUUAAUCGGAAUUACUGGGCGUAAAGCGCACGCAGGCGGUUUGUUAAGUCAGAUGUGAAAUCCCCGGGCUCAACCUGGGAACUGCAUCUGAUACUGGCAAGCUUGAGUCUCGUAGAGGGGGGUAGAAUUCCAGGUGUAGCGGUGAAAUGCGUAGAGAUCUGGAGGAAUACCGGUGGCGAAGGCGGCCCCCUGGACGAAGACUGACGCUCAGGUGCGAAAGCGUGGGGAGCAAACAGGAUUAGAUACCCUGGUAGUCCACGCCGUAAACGAUGUCGACUUGGAGGUUGUGCCCUUGAGGCGUGGCUUCCGGAGCUAACGCGUUAAGUCGACCGCCUGGGGAGUACGGCCGCAAGGUUAAAACUCAAAUGAAUUGACGGGGGCCCGCACAAGCGGUGGAGCAUGUGGUUUAAUUCGAUGCAACGCGAAGAACCUUACCUGGUCUUGACAUCCACGGAAGUUUUCAGAGAUGAGAAUGUGCCUUCGGGAACCGUGAGACAGGUGCUGCAUGGCUGUCGUCAGCUCGUGUUGUGAAAUGUUGGGUUAAGUCCCGCAACGAGCGCAACCCUUAUCCUUUGUUGCCAGCGGUCCGGCCGGGAACUCAAAGGAGACUGCCAGUGAUAAACUGGAGGAAGGUGGGGAUGACGUCAAGUCAUCAUGGCCCUUACGACCAGGGCUACACACGUGCUACAAUGGCGCAUACAAAGAGAAGCGACCUCGCGAGAGCAAGCGGACCUCAUAAAGUGCGUCGUAGUCCGGAUUGGAGUCUGCAACUCGACUCCAUGAAGUCGGAAUCGCUAGUAAUCGUGGAUCAGAAUGCCACGGUGAAUACGUUCCCGGGCCUUGUACACACCGCCCGUCACACCAUGGGAGUGGGUUGCAAAAGAAGUAGGUAGCUUAACCUUCGGGAGGGCGCUUACCACUUUGUGAUUCAUGACUGGGGUGAAGUCGUAACAAGGUAACCGUAGGGGAACCUGCGGUUGGAUCACCU
Molecule: ribosomal RNA, 1529 nt
Filed under: Escherichia coli G58-1
Lineage: Bacteria; Pseudomonadati; Pseudomonadota; Gammaproteobacteria; Enterobacterales; Enterobacteriaceae
Description: bacterial SSU rRNA
Rfam family: Bacterial small subunit ribosomal RNA
Source: RNAcentral